This 84-nucleotide transfer RNA is filed under the name Caldifarciminota bacterium. RNAcentral describes it as "tRNA-Leu". It matches the Rfam family "tRNA". Rfam says of the family: Transfer RNA (tRNA) molecules are approximately 80 nucleotides in length. Lineage: Bacteria; Pseudomonadati; Caldifarciminota. RNAcentral also lists the same sequence under 1 other name. The record is from RNAcentral.
GCCGGGGUGGCGGAAAGGCAGACGCAGGGGACUUAAAAUCCCCUGGGACAAAAUCCCAUGCGGGUUCAAGUCCCGCCCCCGGCA